Molecule: ribosomal RNA, 403 nt
Filed under: uncultured bacterium
Lineage: Bacteria
Description: bacterial SSU rRNA
Rfam family: Bacterial small subunit ribosomal RNA
Source: RNAcentral
UAGGGAAUAUUAGUGAUGGGCGAAAGCCUGAACUAGCAACGCCGCGCGUGCGAAGAAGGCCUUCGGGUUGUAAAGCACUUUUUGAGAGGAUGAGGAAGGACGGUACUCUCAGAAUAAGUCUCGGCUAACUACGUGCCAGCAGCCGCGGUAACACGUAGGAGGCAAACGUUAUCCGGAUUUACUAGGCGUAAAGCGCGUGUAGGUGGUUUGGUAAGUAGGGCGUGAAAGCUCCUGGCUCAACUGGGAGAGGACGUUCUAAACUGCCAAGCUUGAGGAUGGUAGAGGGAGGUGGAAUUCCGGGUGUAGCGGUGGAAUGCGCAGAUAUCCGGAGGAACACCAGUGGCGAAGGCGGCCUCCUGGACCACUCCUGACACUCAGACGCGAAAGCUAGGGUAGCAAACGG